Long non-coding RNA from Sapajus apella (tufted capuchin), 111 nucleotides. RefSeq lists it as uncharacterized. The record is from RefSeq and is a predicted model, not a curated record. NCBI's taxonomy places the organism in Eukaryota, Metazoa, Chordata, Mammalia, Primates, Cebidae. The transcript is spliced from 2 exons.
UCACGCCUGUAAUCCCAGCACUUUGGGAGGCUGAGGCAGACAGAUCACUUUAGGCUAGGAAAUCGAGACCAGCCUGGCCAACUUGGUGAAACCCUGUCUCUACUAAAAAUA